RNAcentral lists this ribosomal RNA (496 nucleotides) under uncultured bacterium. RNAcentral describes it as "partial 16S ribosomal RNA". It matches the Rfam family "Bacterial small subunit ribosomal RNA", at positions 29 to 507 of the family's 1533-position model. The record is from RNAcentral.
AUGAACGCUGGCGGCGUGCCUAAUACAUGCCAGUCGAGCGAACGGAUGAGAAGCUUGCUUCUCUGAUGUUAGCGGCGGACGGGUGAGUAACACGUGGAUAACCUACCUAUAAGACUGGGAUAACUUCGGGAAACCGGAGCUAAUACCGGAUAAUAUUUUGAACCGCAUGGUUCAAAAGUGAAAGACGGUCUUGCUGUCACUUAUAGAUGGAUCCGCGCUGCAUUAGCUAGUUGGUAAGGUAACGGCUUACCAAGGCAACGAUGCAUAGCCGACCUGAGAGGGUGAUCGGCCACACUGGAACUGAGACACGGUCCAGACUCCUACGGGAGGCAGCAGUAGGGAAUCUUCCGCAAUGGGCGAAAGCCUGACGGAGCAACGCCGCGUGAGUGAUGAAGGUCUUCGGAUCGUAAAACUCUGUUAUUAGGGAAGAACAUAUGUGUAAGUAACUGUGCACAUCUUGACGGUACCUAAUCAGAAAGCCACGGCUAACUACGUG